Non-coding RNA from Triticum urartu, 115 nucleotides. The record is from Rfam. Lineage: Eukaryota; Viridiplantae; Streptophyta; Magnoliopsida; Poales; Poaceae.
GUACUACUCCCUCCGUUCGGAAUUACUUGUCGCAGAAAUGGAUGUAUCUAGAUGUAUUUUAGGAGUCGAUACAUGCAUAUCCGAGACAAGUAAUUCCAAACGGAGGGAGUAUAAC